RNAcentral lists this ribosomal RNA (541 nucleotides) under uncultured archaeon. RNAcentral describes it as "bacterial SSU rRNA". It matches the Rfam family "Archaeal small subunit ribosomal RNA", at positions 61 to 576 of the family's 1478-position model. The record is from RNAcentral.
AGCGCCUCCCAGCCAUGACGGAGGCGCGGCGUACAGCUCAGUAACACGUGGCUAACCUGCCCUCGGGACGGGAAUAUCCCCGGGAAACUGGGGCUAAUCCCCGAUAGGUGAAGAACUCUGGAAUGAGUCUCCGCCCAAAAGACGCUUAAAUCAUGCUUUUAGGCGCCGCCCAAGGAUGGGGCCGCGACCGAUCAGGUAGUUGGUGAGGCAACGGCUCACCAAGCCUUUAACCGGUGCGGGCCGUGGGAGCGGGAGCCCGGAGAUGGGCACUGAGACAAGGGCCCAGGCCCUACGGGGCGCAGCAGUCGCGAAAACUUUGCAAUACACGAAAGUGUGACAGGGCUAUCCCGAGUGCCAUCCGCUGAGGAAGGCUUUUACCCAGUCUAGAAAGCUGGGAGAAUAAGGAGAGGGCAAGCCUGGUGUCAGCCGCCGCGGUAAUACCAGCUCUCCGAGUGGUGUGGUUGUUUAUUGGGCCUAAAGCAUCCGUAGCUGGCCAAGUUAGUCCCCNUGUUNAUCCACCGAAUUAAUCGUUGGAGUGCGG